CAGCCGCCGCGGGAAUACGUAGGGUGCAAGCGUUAAUCGGAAUUACUGGGCGUAAAGCGUGCGCAGGCGGUUUGUUAAGACAGAUGUGAAAUCCCCGGGCUCAAUCUGGGAACUGCAUUUGUGACUGGCAAGCUAAAGUGUGGCAGAGGGGGGUGGAAUUCCGCGUGUAGCAGUGAAAUGCGUAGAUAUGCGGAGGAACACCGAUGGCGAAGGCAGCCCCCUGGGCCAAUACUGACGCUCAUGCACGAAAGCGUGGGGAGCAAACAGGAUUAGAUACCCCCGUAGUCCCUGUCUCUUAUAC
This 301-nucleotide ribosomal RNA is filed under the name uncultured bacterium. Its description in RNAcentral is "partial 16S ribosomal RNA". It matches the Rfam family "Bacterial small subunit ribosomal RNA", at positions 509 to 807 of the family's 1533-position model. The record is from RNAcentral.